This 254-nucleotide ribosomal RNA is filed under the name uncultured bacterium. RNAcentral's name for it is "partial 16S ribosomal RNA". It matches the Rfam family "Bacterial small subunit ribosomal RNA", at positions 524 to 776 of the family's 1533-position model. The record is from RNAcentral.
UACGAACCGUGCGAACGUUGUUCGGAUUCACUGGGCUUAAAGGGCGCGUAGGCGGGCGGUCAAGUCGGGGGUGAAAUCUUUCAGCUUAACUGGAAAAGUGCCUCCGAUACUGAUCGCCUCGAGGGAGGUAGGGGCAUGUGGAACUUCCGGUGGAGCGGUGAAAUGCGUAGAUAUCGGAAGGAACGCCGGUGGCGAAAGCGACGUGCUGGACCUCUUCUGACGCUGGAGGCGCGAAAGCUAGGGGAGCAAACGGG